This 107-nucleotide microRNA precursor is filed under the name Olea europaea subsp. europaea. Lineage: Eukaryota; Viridiplantae; Streptophyta; Magnoliopsida; Lamiales; Oleaceae. The record is from RNAcentral.
GGAGUGGAUUGCAGCCAAGGAUGACUUGCCGACAUUUCCAUCUCUUUGUAGAAACACCGCUCGUUGUUCUUGAUCGGCAAGUUGUCUUUGGCUACAUUUUGCUCCCU